AUAAUCAUUAGUCUCUUAAUUAGAGAAUUGUAUGAAUGGUUGUACGUAGCUUUAUUUUAUUAACUAAACCUCUUGAAAUUAAAUUUUAAGUGAAAAUGCUUAAUUAUCUUUAUAGACGAUAAGACCCUGUAGAGUUUUAUUUAAUUUUAUUACUUAUAAAUUAUUGGUAUGAUAUAAUUUUACAGUUAAAUUUUAUUGGGGCAAUAAAAGAAUAACAUUAACUUCUUUAUUUUAAUUUUCACUAGAUAUUUUAACUUAUUUAAAAAUAAAGUAAAAAAUUACCUUAGGGAUAACAGCGUAAUUAAAGUUAAGAGUUCUUAUCGACACUUUAGAUUGCGACCUCGAUGUUGAAUUAAAGAUUCUGAAGGGGGCACAUUUUCUUCUUGAUAGUCUGUUCGACUAUAAAAAUUUUACAUGAUUUGAGUUCAAACCGGUGUGA
Molecule: ribosomal RNA, 439 nt
Filed under: Weberacantha beckeri
Lineage: Eukaryota; Metazoa; Arthropoda; Collembola; Entomobryomorpha; Isotomidae
Description: partial 16S ribosomal RNA
Rfam family: Bacterial large subunit ribosomal RNA (bases 289-439)
Source: RNAcentral